Molecule: non-coding RNA, 25 nt
Filed under: Rattus norvegicus (Norway rat)
Lineage: Eukaryota; Metazoa; Chordata; Mammalia; Rodentia; Muridae
Source: RNAcentral
UGGUGACAUAGGAGAAUCCAUUACC